GCAGACGACCCGCGAACACGUGAACAACACUGGGGAUGYGGGCAUGCCCGCGGCUCCUUGACGGUGCACACAACCCUUGGAAGUGUGCAUCGACGCCAAACGAACCCCGGCGCAAUCCGCGCCAAGGAAAACAUAACUCGAGAGCGCCUCGUCCUGCCGUCGUCCCGUUUGCGGUGUGCGUGCGGUUGAGCGGUCGCUUCUUAGUGAAAAACACAAACGACUCUCGGCAACGGAUAUCUCGGCUCUCGCAUCGAUGAAGGAACGCAGCAAAUUGCAGAUCCGUGACCAUCGAGUCUUUGAACGCAAGUUGCGCCCGAAGCCAUUAGGCCGAGGGCACGUCUGCAUGGGCGUCACGCAUCGCGUCGCACCCCCUACCAAAACUAAACAAGGGGGAGCGGAUACUGGCCUCCCGUGCCUUUCGGCGCGGCUGGCUCAAAACGGAGUUCCCCGCGAAGGACGCACGACAAGUGGUGGUUGAUAACAAGGCCCUCGCAAUUUGUCGCGCGCACGUCCUGCGAUUGGGUUGGCUCUCGUGACCCUGAAGCUCCUUACUUAGGCGCUCCGACCGCGACCCCAUGUCAGGCGGGACUACCCGCUGAGUUUAAGCAUAU
Molecule: ribosomal RNA, 611 nt
Filed under: Pseudocodon grey-wilsonii
Lineage: Eukaryota; Viridiplantae; Streptophyta; Magnoliopsida; Asterales; Campanulaceae
Description: eukaryotic LSU rRNA
Rfam family: 5.8S ribosomal RNA (bases 219-353)
Source: RNAcentral